This 3983-nucleotide long non-coding RNA is filed under the name Equus caballus (horse). Its description in RNAcentral is "lncRNA (ENSECAG00000054444.1)". Lineage: Eukaryota; Metazoa; Chordata; Mammalia; Perissodactyla; Equidae. The record is from RNAcentral.
CGAGGCAGUUUGGGUGAGAAGUUGGAGGAGGGUGCUGUCCUCUCAGCUGGUCCAGGGGAUGAGACCUGGACGUUCCUUGGGGUCUGUUCGUCCAGGUUUCCUGGUGACCUGGCCCAAAUGGGUGGGAGACCUGGCCCUGCGGGUGGACGGGGGCUUCUGGCCGAGGAGACCUCUGAGGAGCGCCGCAUCCUUUUGCCUGGACAUCUUUGCCCCCAGGUGGAGAUCUCUCUACCUCGGGAUGCAGUGAGCCGCCAACCUGCAGUUUUUAGAGGCUUGCUGCCUUUGAUUUGGUGGGAGGGGCAGAAGGAGGAAUAACGGGGGAGAAAAAUGCCUCAACUGCUCUUCCUGAAGGAGCGAGACCCCCCGCCAACAGAUCACCCAGAAGCUUAGUCUCAGCCUCUCCCACAAGAGGGACCCGGGUGUCUGCUGGGAGUCCGGGAGGGCCGGAGGGUGCCAGGUGAAAGCCCACGUCUGGCGGUCCCCCUCCCUCCUGGCACCAAUGGUGGUCGCCAUCAGGCCGAUGCCCUGGGCUUCUGACUUCACAUCCCAGCUGAGAGUGGGAGGGCCGAACUGCCCUGGUGCCCAGGGCUGUGAGUGACCCAUGGCCUAGGCCGGGGAUGGGGUUGUGUGGAGAAGCUCCAGGGGCCCGCUGGGUGUGAGCGGGGAUGGGGGCAUCUGGAGAGGAGAGCAGGAGGCUGCCCCAGGCCUUCUGUGGCCACAGCCACCUCAGCCCUUCUGUAUAUGGUUCAUUCAGCUCCCCGCCUUCUGCCCCCUACCCUACAGGCCCCAGGCCUUGUCUCUCUGGUGGAGGAGGUCAGCAGGCAGACCCCCAGGACCUCUGUGGGGCCAGGCUCCCGUGAGGGAGGCAGAGCAGAUGAAUUAUCUCGGGAACCCGAGGCUCCGAGAGCAGGUCUUGCUGUGGUUCCCUCGCCCCCAUCAGGCACUUCUCCUGAGGGAGCCCACUCAGAGCCCCCUUCUUUCUGGCGCAGUUGUGAUACCCUGGUGCUGCGAUUGCCUAGACCAGAGCAGAAUAACAGGUCAUUAGAAGGUGCAGGGAUGGACAGAGGGAGGGUCCAGGAAGAGGGAAACAGUUGCUAAAACUUAAACAUUUGCUAAGAGGGUAGAUCUUAUGUUAAGUGUUCUUAUCACAAAACAAACAAAACACACGGUUGCUAAGUUGGCCUUGUUGAUGACAACAUUUGCAGACUGCUUUUAAGGGUGGACACAGAGCCACUCUUUAACCACAGGACACCCAGGGGCCCUGCGAGGCGGCUGCUUGUCAGAGGACCCGCGGAUGGCCUCCUGGCUCAGCGGCUGCUGUCGUGACUUGGUACAAGGGGAGGCUGCACUUGUAUAACACUUUGUUAAAGUGAACCAGGUCUAAAGAAAGAGCCAUGCCCAGGGGCCGGCCUGGUGGCAGAGCUGUUACUGAAAUGGGGAUGUGGAGUGUCUCCUGUAUUUUAAGAAAGAGUCCCAUUUCUCUGGAAAAGCUUCUCGCGUGCACGUGGAAGAUCUUGGAGUGUAUUUUUAUGUUUUUCAGCCAGAGGUUCCCCGUGGGGGCCCAGUGCAGGGCCUGCUGGAGGAGGCUUCAUGAGGAAGUGACCCGCCCGAGGUCACAUUGUUCCUUGGUUUGCUGAAUGACUAAAGAAUGAAUAAAGAUGGAUGGAGACAGGAUUAGAACCAGGCUCUCAGCUCUUUUCCCCACUCCAGUGACAAACUGCCAAGUCUAAACAUCUAACAUGGCACAUGUGGCCCUGGUAACCUGGCCCAGCUGACCUACUUAGCCUCAUCUCUCCCCACUGAACUGCUGUGGCUCACACACACCACAUUGGUUUUACUCUGUGCCUUUGCUUAUGCUGUUCCCUCUGCCUGGAAUGCCUUUCCCUGCUGCCCCCACCCUCUUUGGUCUAACUUCUACUCACCCUUUUAGAAUCAGCCCCAGUUUCCUGGAAGCCUCCCCCAGCCCCUGGCUGGGCUAGGGGUUCCUUUUCUGCACCCAUAGUACACCGUGCCUACUGCAUUUACUGCACUUAGUUCUGCUUUUCUGUGCACAUGCUGGACCCAGGUCCCCAGCCGGGAGCCCCUUGAGGGAGGACUGCGUCUGACUCACCUCACCCUCAACGCUGGCCCCAGGCUGGGCACGUUUGAGAAGGAGGUCACAGGACCUGGCACUGCCCCUGCUCCCACUCCAGAGGAGAGCCUUGACCGUGUCGUGCCCAUUUCCCUGUCCCAAAUGUGGGAGAGCUGGGCUUCACCAGAUCACUUCUGAGGACCCUGUGGCUGACAAGAUGGCCAGGGCUGGCAUAGGACAGCCUGUGUUGGGUGCCCAAGAUCAGAGGGGGCAAGGGACAUGGUCAGCACCCUCGGCCACCUGCAGCGCCUGGUGGCAGGGAUUGGGGUGGGUGUGGAGCAGAGGAGGUGGAGGCUAUGUUCUGGGCCUCAGCAGACCAGACCCCGCCACAGAGGCUGGCCAGGCGCCGCACAGCAGGGAGGGCGGCCCCCAGCGGUUAUCAAAGGCCAGCAGGGACCCUCCCUCAGAUGGUGACUGCAGGGAGGGAGAAGGGGUCUCCCUGGGGCUGCUGGCUCUGCCACAGCCACUGACAAGCUGGGCCAUCCAUCAGCCCUGAGCACAAUGGGGUCAUUAACCCCUGACCCCAGCCCCUUUCUAGCCAUUUCCUCUGGAGGGCUCCCCUCCCCAAGGCGAAGGGAGGGGGCGAUUCCUGUAUAACCUCCCUCUUCAAUGAGGGGCCCAGGAGCGACGGCCCCCUCGGCUGGCGGGGGACUCACAGCUCUACGGCCCUUCCGAAGUCUGAGGUCCCGCUCCUGCAGCUGCCAUCCUCUGCUGGUGCCUCUCACCCUCGGCCACCCACGGGAGCACCCCUCAAGCCACAGCAGUGUAUUUGGGGAGGGACAGAGAGGGGCCCUGAGAGACAGGGACAGGGACAGAGGCAUUCCGAGAGAGACGCUUAGACGCUUUAGAUCAGAGGUGGCUCUUCAGUUUACACAGGACAUUCAAAGGGACAUUAGAGACCAGUACUGCUUGUGAAAUUCCAUGCAAGAGCCCGAAAUAAAAUAUUAGCAAAACAAAUCCAGCAAUGAAUAAAAAGGACAUAUACAUGAUGACCAAAGUGGGUUUACCCUAGAAACGCAAGGGGGGGUUAGCGCUGGAAAGCCUAUGAGUGCCAUCCAUCGCGUUAAUAAAUUAAGGGAGCAAAGCCGUAUGAUUGUCUCAGCACUAGCACUAAAUGUCAACAUCUACUUAUGAUAAAAAUGUUUUCGCAAACUUGGGAUAGAAGGUAUGUCUGUAGACUCAUGAAGAUUAUCUACAAACACCAGCACACACGCAGGUCUUAAAGGAGCAGUGGACACAUUCUCUAGAAUCAGGGGUGUUUGCCCUCAUCCAUGCGUCUAUUCAGCAUCGUACCCAAGGCUCCAGCUGGGGCAGUAAGACAACGAAACAGCAGCAAGGGAGAAGGAUUGGAAAGGAAGAAGGAAAACUGGCAUUAUUUGAAGAUGAUAUGAUCGUCUACACAGAAAACCCCAAAUAAUCUACGAAUUACCAGAACUAUGAAAAAAAUCCAGCAGAGAUGAUACAGGAUACUCCCAUAUCAAAUCAAUAUCAAAAACUAAUUGCAGCCGCAACAUAUGGAUAAACUUGGAAAAUAUUAUGCUAAGUGAAAGAAGCCAGACACAGAAGGCCACAUGUUAUAGGAUUCCAUUUAUAGGAAAUCUCUAGAAUAGGCAGCUCCAUAGAGACAGAAAGUAGAUUAACGGUUGCCAGGGGCUGAGGAAGGAAAAAAUGAGGAGUGACUGCUCAUGGGUAAAGGUUUCUUUUUGGGGUGAUGAGAAUGUUCUGGAAUUAGAUAGUGGUGAUGGUUGUGCAAGCUUGUGAAUGCACUAAAACCCACUGAAUUGUACACUUUAAAGGGGUGAAUUUUAUAUGGGUAAAUUAUGUCUCAAUAAAAAGUAACUGCAUUUAUAAA